UGACUUCCAUUUUGCCAAGCAUAAAGAAAAAAAAGUUUGUUCACCUAGGGUGAGGCUUAACCAUUGCACUUGGGCUAGGCUGACCUCUGUGAAUUCCCCAAAUGUGGGAAUCAUGAAUGCAUAAUUUGGGGUAGUGGGGAACUGCCUUCGCACUCUCCCUU
This is a small nuclear RNA of Chanos chanos (milkfish), 161 nucleotides long. RefSeq annotates it as U1 spliceosomal RNA. The record is from RefSeq and is a predicted model, not a curated record. The transcript has a single exon. NCBI's taxonomy places the organism in Eukaryota, Metazoa, Chordata, Actinopteri, Gonorynchiformes, Chanidae.